This 460-nucleotide ribosomal RNA is filed under the name uncultured bacterium. RNAcentral describes it as "partial 16S ribosomal RNA". It matches the Rfam family "Bacterial small subunit ribosomal RNA", at positions 338 to 795 of the family's 1533-position model. The record is from RNAcentral.
UCUACGGGUGGCAGCAGUGAGGAAUAUUGGUCAAUGGGCGAGAGCCUGAACCAGCCAAGUCGCGUGAAGGAUGACGGCCCUACGGGUUGUAAACUUCUUUUGUCAGGGAGCAAUUGAGUCCACGUGUGGUCUUAGCGUGAGUACCUGAAGAAAAAGCAUCGGCUAACUCGGUGCCAGCAGCGGCGGUAAUACGGAGGAGGCGAGCGUUAUCCGGAUUUAUUGGGGUUUACGGGUGCGUAGGCGGAAUAUCAAGUCAGCGGUAAAAAUUCGGGGCUCAACCCCGUCGUGCCGUUGAAUCUGAUGUUCUUGAGUGGGCGAGAGGUAUGCGGAAUGCGUAGUGUAGCGGUGAAAUGCAUAGAUAUCACGCAGAACUCCGGUUGCGAAGGCAGCAUGCCGGCGCCCAACUGACGCUGAAGCACGAAAGCGUGGGUAUCGAACAGGAUUAGAUACCCUUGUAGUC